GAUGAAGAACGUAGCGAAAUGCGAUAAGUAAUGUGAAUUGCAGAAUUCAGUGAAUCAUCGAAUCUUUGAACGCACAUUGCGCCCCUUGGUAUUCCGAGGGGCAUGCCUAUUCGAGCGUCAUUACAACCCUCAAGCUCAGCUUGGUGUUGGGCCCCGCCGCCCCGGCGGGCCCUAAAGUCAGUGGCGGUGCCGUCCGGCUCCGAGCGUAGUAAUUCUUCUCGCUCUGGAGGUCCGGUCGUGUGCUCGCCAGCAACCCCCAAUUUUUUUCAGGUUGACCUCGGAUCAGGUAGGGAUACCCGCUGAACUUAAGCAUAUCAAUAAGCGGAGGA
This 329-nucleotide unclassified non-coding RNA is filed under the name soil metagenome. Its description in RNAcentral is "partial contains 5.8S ribosomal RNA, internal transcribed spacer 2, and large subunit ribosomal RNA". The stretch from base 1 to 120 matches the Rfam family "5.8S ribosomal RNA", at positions 35 to 154 of the family's 154-position model. The record is from RNAcentral.